UCGCUCCUACCGAUUGAGUGAUCCGGUGAAUGAUUCGGACAAGCGCAUCGUUCAGAUUCUGAGCAGUGUGUUUGGAAGUUUAGUGAACCUUAUCACUUAGAGGAAGGAG
This 109-nucleotide ribosomal RNA is filed under the name uncultured eukaryote. Its description in RNAcentral is "partial small subunit ribosomal RNA". It matches the Rfam family "Eukaryotic small subunit ribosomal RNA", at positions 1676 to 1785 of the family's 1831-position model. The record is from RNAcentral.